AAAGCAGAUUACAAGUACAGAUCUUCAUUUUGUGGAAGUAUUGCCACUACCCUACUGAAAGGGAAGUCAUGUUGAUGGCUUCUGAUUUUACCUUUAUGGGUGUAAAAAUGACAGCUUGACAAAGGCAGUU
This is a small nucleolar RNA of Microtus oregoni (creeping vole), 130 nucleotides long. RefSeq annotates it as small nucleolar RNA SNORA69. Lineage: Eukaryota; Metazoa; Chordata; Mammalia; Rodentia; Cricetidae. The transcript has a single exon. The record is from RefSeq and is a predicted model, not a curated record.